Molecule: ribosomal RNA, 495 nt
Filed under: uncultured bacterium
Lineage: Bacteria
Description: partial 16S ribosomal RNA
Rfam family: Bacterial small subunit ribosomal RNA
Source: RNAcentral
GAUGAACGCUGGCGGCGUGCUUAACACAUGCAAGUCGAACGAAGCACCUCUCCCGAAGAUUGACACAGCUUGCUGUAGAUUGAUUCAUUUGAGGUGACUGAGUGGCGGACGGGUGAGUAACGCGUGGGUAACCUGCCUCAUAGAGGGGGACAACAGUUGGAAACGACUGCUAAUACCGCAUAGUAAGAAGAAUUCGCAUGUUUUCUUCUUGAAAGAUUUAUCGCUAUGAGAUGGACCCGCGUCUGAUUAGCUAGUUGGUAAGGUAACGGCUUACCAAGGCGACGAUCAGUAGCCGGCUUGAGAGAGUGAACGGCCACAUUGGGACUGAGACACGGCCCAAACUCCUACGGGAGGCAGCAGUGGGGAAUAUUGCACAAUGGGGGAAACCCUGAUGCAGCGACGCCGCGUGAGUGAAGAAGUAUUUCGGUAUGUAAAGCUCUAUCAGCAGGGAAGAUAAUAACGGUACCUGACUAAGAAGCCCCGGCUAACUACGUG